AUCUGGGCGGCGGAAUUCAGGAUGGCUGACGUGUGCCUAGUGGGUGCGUCGGUCGUUUGAUAUUUCCGUCGCCAACAACCGCAGACGUCGCGACCUGUUCGCGGUCGGUCCCUGCUCGGAGGAGCCGCGUUCAAGUUCGUUGUGUGCGCGUUUCGGCGUGUCACACGGCGAAGGGCGGAUCUCUGGCUGGCCGUCGGACAGUAUGCUUAACGGUGUCCGGUGUCGUCGUUUCGUACGCACGGCAUCGGUACCGGUCAGCGACGAAUUCUUCGGGCCUCUUUCCGACCCGUCUUGAAACACGGACCAAGGAGUCUAACAUGCGCGCGAGUCGCGGGGUAUCGAGCGUACUUCGGUGCGUUCGUUAUGUUGCGAAACCCGUACAUGUCGAAGGCGUAAUGAAAGUGAAUGGGGAAGAUGGUAGUCCGAGUUCACGUUCCGCGAUCAUCGGUAUCGCGGCCGGACGCCCGCAUUCCCGGGGCGUCUCAACGGCCCGUCGCUGAUGCGGACCGUCGUCCUUCGGGGCGGCUGUCGGUCGGCGACGAACCGA
RNAcentral lists this ribosomal RNA (547 nucleotides) under Hemiberlesia popularum. RNAcentral's name for it is "eukaryotic LSU rRNA". Lineage: Eukaryota; Metazoa; Arthropoda; Insecta; Hemiptera; Diaspididae. The record is from RNAcentral.